GAUCACCAGGGACAUCUUUUCUGAUUGGUUUUACAAAUAUUUUGUACCAGUGGCUCAUGCUCACUGCAGAGAAGCUGGACUGGAUAAUGACUGCAAGAUUUUCUUAUUCCUUGACAACUGUUCUGCUAAUCUUUCAGCCCCAGAGCACUGAGUUCCUGUCCCGGCAACACUGGAAGAAGCACUGCGGCCGGAGCAUGGUCAGGUGGCCGUAGCCCAGCAGAUAAAGUGCACUCAGCUCCACCA
Homo sapiens (human) is the source of this 243-nucleotide long non-coding RNA. RefSeq lists it as uncharacterized. Lineage: Eukaryota; Metazoa; Chordata; Mammalia; Primates; Hominidae. The transcript is spliced from 2 exons. The record is from RefSeq and is a predicted model, not a curated record.